Molecule: long non-coding RNA, 363 nt
Organism: Pecten maximus
Lineage: Eukaryota; Metazoa; Mollusca; Bivalvia; Pectinida; Pectinidae
Exons: 3
Source: RefSeq, a predicted model, not a curated record
CCGCUCUCGGCAGGAGGACGCCAGAGUCGAUGUCUGGAGCAAAAUCAACAGUAUCUAUCAGGAUGGCAAUCAGCCAGCUCCAGACAUCGGUCCGCAGUCCCCUGCUUGUCCAGCACCCUCUGAUAACGACAGCGACGUGAUCGGCCCUUCACCAGUAAAGAAGCCCAGGAGGUAGAUCCUCACCCCAGGCGUCCUGGCCUCAUAAGUCAUCCAUCGCCGCUCGCGUCGCUGUCGACUUAACCGCCGCCACGCAUUAUUUUGUAUAUAUUUGAAAAAAUCUAUUUUAUUAAUUUAUUAACUCAUUUGUAUAUAUUAUCAUUUAAUUUAUUCAAUUCAACUAUGUAUAUAAAAAGACAAUUAAUU